UACGUAGGGUGCAAGCGUUGUCCGGAAUUAUUGGGCGUAAAGAGCUCGUAGGCGGUCUGUCGCGUCGGCUGUGAAAACUCGGGGCUCAACUCCGAGCUUGCAGUCGAUACGGGCAGGCUAGAGGAAUGGAGGGGAGACUGGAAUACUUGGUGUAGCAGUGAAAUGCGUAGAUAUCAAGUGGAACACCAGUGGCGAAGGCGAGUCUCUGGACAUUUCCUGACGCUGAGGCACGAAAGCCAGGGGAGCAAACGGG
Molecule: ribosomal RNA, 253 nt
Filed under: uncultured bacterium
Lineage: Bacteria
Description: partial 16S ribosomal RNA
Rfam family: Bacterial small subunit ribosomal RNA
Source: RNAcentral